This 1520-nucleotide long non-coding RNA is filed under the name Panax ginseng (ginseng). RNAcentral's name for it is "long non-coding RNA (PGIN_LNC003688)". Lineage: Eukaryota; Viridiplantae; Streptophyta; Magnoliopsida; Apiales; Araliaceae. The record is from RNAcentral.
CUUGUACAAAUCCUCAUCUUUUAAAAAAAAAAAGUAUACGCAAAUUUUUUUAUUUAUUUAUACAGAAAAUAUCGGGUUGUUACACAUGCAAUUAUCGAAACUAUAUUUUCCUAUAAAUAGAAGCUCAUUCUUCCUUCAUUCUCACCAAUUCACUAAGUCUCACAAGAGCAAUUAUAGAGAUAGAAGCUAUAGAGAGAGAAGUUAUAGAGAGAAAGAAGAAGCGAAGUCUGCUACUUCACUAUUCUAGUAUCCAGUCUUCUUCUGAGGUAAGGGGUAUAAUUUUUUUCAUAUUUUGAAGAGAUAUUAUUUUUCGUAUUCGUAUGAAUGUUAUUUUCGUUCAAUAUUCGUAAGGAAUAUCAUCUUCGAUCAAUAUUCGUAGGAAUAUUGUUUUCGUUCAACAGUUGUAAGGGGUAUUAUUUCUUCGUAAAUGAUAUUAUUUCUUUCAAUAUCAUUAUGCCGGAAUAUUGGUAUGAAUUUUAUUGUGGCAUUUCUACCAUUUUGUGUCGAGGUUACUAUUCACUCUAGUAUUAUUCACUCGGGUAUUCGGGGCACUUUUUAUGUUGGAAUACUAUUCACGAGUUACUAUUCAUGGAUUACUAUUCACCUGUUUACUAUUCACUCUAGUACUAUUCACUCGGGUAUUCGGGGCACUUUUUGUGCCGAAGUACUAUUCACGAGUUACUAUUCACGGGUUACUAUUCACUCGAUUAUUAUUUACUAGAAUAUUAUUCACUCGGGUAUUUGGGGCACUUUUCAUGCCGGGGUACUAUUUACGAGGUACUAUUCUCGAAGUACUAUUCAUAGGGUACUAUUCAUAGAGUACUAUUCACCCGAAAAAUAUAUUUCUUUUCUGUCCAAAAUAUUUUUGGUACAUGAAUAUUAUUCUUGAAUUUUACUCCACAAAGUAGUAUCAUGUUGACAAUUUGGAUAUUUUAAACUCUAGAUAAAUUUAAAGUCUUUAAUAUUUAUCCUUGAUUUCGUUUGAUUAAUGCUUAUAUCAUUGUCAUCAUCCUCAUGAUUAUAUUGUGAUGAAAGUCAUCUUUGGCUUACGUGCAUAAAUGGAUUGUUGAUUAUUGGUUUUACAGUUAUAUAUUUUUGGCUUACGUACAAAGAUGGACUGUUGAUUAUUGGUUUUAUAGUUGUAUAUCUUUGGCUUACGUGCAAAGAUGGACAUGUGUAUGACAUGAUCAUAACCACUGAUAAUAAUAACGAAUAUCCUUAGCCCGUAGUGCAUGGAUAAUUCGAUGAUGUGAUUGGCAGGAUAAUGACCAUUAGUUAACAGUUGAAUGUCUUUGGCCGUAGUGCACUGACAGACAAUUGAUUGGUAUGGUCAUGACCAUUGGUUUUAUAGUUGAAUAUCUUUGGCCGUAGUUGUGGCGACCCCAAAUCCAGGUACUUGCAACCCGAACUCGGUUCUCCACGAUACCAUUUCUUUAAGCUGAAUAAUACUAAAUAAUAAUACAUUCGAACUUAAUUUACAUACAUCAAAGUUUACUUCCCCAGGUACGUGACCUUCAAAU